RNAcentral lists this microRNA (19 nucleotides) under Mus musculus (house mouse). Its description in RNAcentral is "mmu-miR-2861". Lineage: Eukaryota; Metazoa; Chordata; Mammalia; Rodentia; Muridae. The record is from miRBase by way of RNAcentral.
GGGGCCUGGCGGCGGGCGG